Molecule: ribosomal RNA, 474 nt
Filed under: Trachypachus holmbergi
Lineage: Eukaryota; Metazoa; Arthropoda; Insecta; Coleoptera; Trachypachidae
Description: partial 16S ribosomal RNA
Rfam family: Bacterial large subunit ribosomal RNA
Source: RNAcentral
CCUGCCCACUGAAAAAUUUUAAAUGGCCGCAGUAAUUUGACUGUGCAAAGGUAGCAUAAUCAUUAGUUUUUUAAUUAAAAGCUUGUAUGAAAGGUUGGACGAGGUAAAAUCUGUCUCUAUUUAAAUUAAAAUAGAAUUUAAUUUUUAAGUUAAAAAGCUUAAAUAUUAUUAAAAGACGAGAAGACCCUAUAGAGCUUUAUAAUUUUUAAAGUAAAAUUUAUAAAGAAUAGUUUACGUCUUAUUUUAAUAAAUUAUUUUAUUGGGGUAAUAGAAAGAUUAAAUAAAUUCUUUUUGAAUAUUAACAUUGAUUUAUGAUUUAUAUGAUCCAAUUUUAUUGAUUAUAAGAUUAAGUUACCUUAGGGAUAACAGCGUAAUUUUUUUAAAGAGUUCAUAUCGAUAAAAAAGUUUGCGACCUCGAUGUCGGAUUAAAAAUUAUUUUAGGUGUAGAAGCUUAAAAUUUUGGUCUGUUCGACC